The sequence is a ribosomal RNA, 570 nucleotides long. It matches the Rfam family "Bacterial small subunit ribosomal RNA", at positions 285 to 865 of the family's 1533-position model.
AGCCGGCCUGAGAGGGCGACCGGCCACACUGGGACUGAGACACGGCCCAGACUCCUACGGGAGGCAGCAGUGGGGAAUAUUGCACAAUGGGCGAAAGCCUGAUGCAGCGACGCCGCGUGAGGGAUGACGGCCUUCGGGUUGUAAACCUCUUUCAGCAGGGAAGAAGCGAAAGUGACGGUACCUGCAGAAGAAGCGCCGGCUAACUACGUGCCAGCAGCCGCGGUAAUACGUAGGGCGCAAGCGUUGUCCGGAAUUAUUGGGCGUAAAGAGCUCGUAGGCGGCUUGUCACGUCGGUUGUGAAAGCCCGGGGCUUAACCCCGGGUCUGCAGUCGAUACGGGCAGGCUAGAGUUCGGUAGGGGAGAUCGGAAUUCCUGGUGUAGCGGUGAAAUGCGCAGAUAUCAGGAGGAACACCGGUGGCGAAGGCGGAUCUCUGGGCCGAUACUGACGCUGAGGAGCGAAAGCGUGGGGAGCGAACAGGAUUAGAUACCCUGGUAGUCCACGCCGUAAACGGUGGGCACUAGGUGUGGGCAACAUUCCACGUUGUCCGUGCCGCAGCUAACGCAUUAAGG